ACCAAGGUUCUCUUCAGAACCACCAUAUUCUCCUUCUUUAAGGAAGU
This is a non-coding RNA of Bos taurus (domestic cattle), 47 nucleotides long. The record is from Rfam. Lineage: Eukaryota; Metazoa; Chordata; Mammalia; Artiodactyla; Bovidae.